AAGUCGUAACAAGGUUUCCGUAGGUGAACCUGCGGAAGGAUCAUUACCGAGUAUCAUGCCCAUACGGGUAGACACUCCCACCCUUUGUAUAUUUACCUGUUGCCUCGGCGGGCCGAGUAAGCUACCUACCGGCCCCGGCUGGUAAGCGCCCGCCAGGCCAAAAUCAAACCCUGAAUUAGUGUCGUCUGAAACCACAAGUUUAAUAUUUAAAACUUUCAACAACGGAUCUCUUGGCUCUGGCAUCGAUGAAGAACGCAGCGAAAUGCGAUAAGUAAUGUGAAUUGCAGAAUUUAGUGAAUCAUCGAAUCUUUGAACGCACAUUGCGCCCCCUGGCAUUCCGGGGGGCAUGCCUAUUCGAGCGUCAUUACACCCCUCAGGCUUCGGCCUGGUAUUGAGGCCUGCCGUCAAGGCACCCUCUAAAAUCAGUGGCGGCGCCGUUCGGCUCUAAGCGCAGUAACUUUUCUCGCUACAGGGUUGGGCGGUCGCUAGCCAAAACCCAUAUUUUAUACAUGAUUGGCCUCGGAUUAGGUAGGGAUACCCGCUGAACUUAAGCAUAUCAAUAAGCGGAGGAAAAGAAACCAACAGGGAUUGCCUCAGUAACGGCGAGUGAAGCGGCAAAAGCUCAAAUUUGAAAUCUGGCUCUUUCAGGGUCCGAGUUGUAAUUUGCAGAAGAUGUUUCGGGUGCGGCUCCGGUCUAAGUUCCUUGGAAUUUGACAUCACAGAGGGUGAGAAUCCCGUAUGUGACCGGCGGCUUAGCCCAUGUGAAACUCUUUCGACGAGUCGAGUUGUUUGGGAACGCAGCUCUAAAUGGGAGGUAUAUUUCUUCUAAAGCUAAAUAUUGGCCAGAGACCGAUAGCGCACAAGUAGAGUGAUCGAAAGAUGAAAAGCACUUUGAAAAGAGAGUUAAAUAGUACGUGAAAUUGUUGAAAGGGAAGCGCUUGCAAUCAGACUCGCGCGUAGGUGAUCACCCGGUGCUCGCGCCGGGGCACUCGCUUGCGCGUGGGCCAGCAUCGGUUUCGGUGGCUAAACAAAGGUCUUGGGAAUGUGGCUCCUCUCGGGGAGUGUUAUAGCCCUCGGCGUAAUAUGGCCUACCGGGACCGAGGACCGCGCUUCGGCUAGGAUGCUGGCGUAAUGAUUAUAAGCGACC
Molecule: ribosomal RNA, 1147 nt
Filed under: uncultured fungus
Lineage: Eukaryota; Fungi
Description: eukaryotic LSU rRNA
Rfam family: Eukaryotic large subunit ribosomal RNA (bases 515-1147)
Source: RNAcentral